UUUUACUUAGUUGCAUACUCUUUUGUAUAUCAUUUUUUGUACUUGAUGAUUAUAGAUGUUUAAAUAAAAGGACAUGAAUGAUGUAAGAGAAUUUAUGUUUAAAUACAAGAGUUAUAUUUUGAGAUAUCAUGAGAUGUAAAAGAGAAGAGAUAAUGCAAAAGAAUAUAAAUGAAUUUUAAGUUGUAUGUAUGUAUGUGGUUAAAAGUCAAAUAUAUUACUUGUAUGAAUGUUUAGAUUAGUA
Molecule: long non-coding RNA, 241 nt
Filed under: Ananas comosus (pineapple)
Lineage: Eukaryota; Viridiplantae; Streptophyta; Magnoliopsida; Poales; Bromeliaceae
Description: long non-coding RNA (ACOM_LNC042648)
Source: RNAcentral